This 246-nucleotide ribosomal RNA is filed under the name uncultured bacterium. RNAcentral's name for it is "partial small subunit ribosomal RNA". It matches the Rfam family "Bacterial small subunit ribosomal RNA", at positions 26 to 285 of the family's 1533-position model. The record is from RNAcentral.
AGAAUCAACGCUGGCGGCGUGCCUAACACAUGCAAGUCGCACGAGAAAGGGACUUCGGUCCUGAGUACAGUGGCGUACGGGUGAGUAACACGUGAAUAAUCUACCGUCCGAGUGGGGAAUAACUGAGAGAAAUCUUAGCUAAUACCGCAUAACACUUACGAGUCAAAGCAGCAAUGCGCUUGGAGAGGAGUUCGCGGCAGAUUAGUUAGUUGGCGGGGUAAUGGCCCACCAAGACGAUGAUCUGUA